UACGUAGGGACCGAGCGUUGUCCGGAAUCAUUGGGCGUAAAGAGCGUGUAGGCGGCCUUUUAAGUCCUGCGUGAAAUCCUGCGGCUCAACCGCAGACGGUCGUGGGAAACUGGAAGGCUAGAGUCCGGAAGAGGCGAGUGGAACUCCUGGUGUAGCGGUGGAAUGCGCAGAUAUCAGGAAGAACACCAACGGCGAAGGCAGCUCGCUAGGACGGUACUGACGCUGAGACGCGAAAGCGUGGGGAGCGAACAGG
This 253-nucleotide ribosomal RNA is filed under the name uncultured bacterium. RNAcentral describes it as "partial 16S ribosomal RNA". It matches the Rfam family "Bacterial small subunit ribosomal RNA", at positions 524 to 776 of the family's 1533-position model. The record is from RNAcentral.